Mycena latifolia is the source of this 89-nucleotide non-coding RNA. The record is from the annotation of a GenBank genome assembly. NCBI's taxonomy places the organism in Eukaryota, Fungi, Basidiomycota, Agaricomycetes, Agaricales, Mycenaceae.
GGCCCAGUAGCGGAUGGUCCGCGCCCGCUUAUAAUACUGGAAUGCUCUAUAAAAGGCAGGAAUCGCUCGUUCGACUCGAGCCUGGGCCU